This 65-nucleotide transfer RNA is filed under the name Diaphorina citri (Asian citrus psyllid). It matches the Rfam family "tRNA". Rfam says of the family: Transfer RNA (tRNA) molecules are approximately 80 nucleotides in length. Their secondary structure includes four short double-helical elements and three loops (D, anti-codon, and T loops). The record is from Rfam by way of RNAcentral. Lineage: Eukaryota; Metazoa; Arthropoda; Insecta; Hemiptera; Psyllidae.
GGCCGAGUGGAUAUCACACUCGACUUGCACGCCAGAGGUCCCGGGUUCGAUUCCCGGCUUCGCCU